This 468-nucleotide ribosomal RNA is filed under the name uncultured bacterium. RNAcentral describes it as "partial 16S ribosomal RNA". It matches the Rfam family "Bacterial small subunit ribosomal RNA", at positions 28 to 507 of the family's 1533-position model. The record is from RNAcentral.
GACGAACGCUGGCGGCGUGCUUAACACAUGCAAGUCGAACGGCAACGCCCUGCUUUUGUGCUGUGCUCGAGUGGCGAACGGGUGAGUAACACGUGAGUAACUUGCCCUUGAUUUUGGGAUAACUUCAGGAAACUGGAGCUAAUACCCGUAAGGUGCUCCUGCUGCAUGGUGGGGGUUGGAAAGUUUCGGCGGUUGGGGUUGGACCCGCGGCUUAUCGGCUUGUUGGUGGGGUAGUGGCGUACCAAGGCCUUGACGGGUCGCCGGCCAGAGAAGGUGCCCGGCGACAAUGGGACUAAGGGAAGGACCAGACGGCAACUGGAGGCAGUGGGGGAGAAUAUGGCACAACGAGGGGAAGCCUGAGACAGCAACGCCCGGUGCGGGAUGCCGGCCUUCGGGUAAUGAACCCCUUUCGCCUGUGACGAAGCGGGAGUGACGGUACCGGGAGAAGAAGCACCGGCUAACUACGUG